UACGUAGGGGGCGAGCGUUGUCCGGAAUUAUUGGGCGUAAAGGGCGCGUAGGUGGCCCGGUCAGUUCGUGGUGAAAGCGCGGGGCUCAACCCUGCGUCGGCCAUGAAUACUGCCGCGGCUGGAGCACUGUAGAGGCAGGCGGAAUUCCGGGUGUAGCGGUGGAAUGCGUAGAGAUCCGGAAGAACACCGGUGGCGAAGGCGGCCUGCUGGGCAGUUGCUGACACUGAGGCGCGACAGCGUGGGGAGCAAACAGG
RNAcentral lists this ribosomal RNA (254 nucleotides) under uncultured bacterium. RNAcentral describes it as "partial 16S ribosomal RNA". It matches the Rfam family "Bacterial small subunit ribosomal RNA", at positions 524 to 776 of the family's 1533-position model. The record is from RNAcentral.